CGGCAUCUGCCCUAAAUCCUAUAAAGCCCAACGCCCCCCCCCACCCAUCCCCGUGAUAAACCAACACUAGCCGUGUCAUCCGCCCUGCGUGGGUGGCACAAUGCCAAGGCCAACAACAAAGGACACACACACACCACACCGCACACACAGGGACGUCGGUGGCUUACGAUUCGCCACGUUCAGCAGAAAAGCCCUCCCCGACUGUGAAAUAUUCAAACCGUAAGCCCAUCUGGAGGCGUUUGGAGUACAGUGGCGAGAGACCACGAAUCCAUGAAUUUUACAAAACGUGCACAAAGAUCACUCGCGAAAGAGGUGUACUUCAAAAUCGUUCAUCCAUGCAAAUGUGUUCGGCAGAAAGACGUCGACGCUAUUUAAAGAGCCACUCUCGACGGCUACGCGUGCACCACAACGACCCCAACGUGAAUCUACCCUUGAGUUGAAUCACCACCACCCCCCCCCAUCCCCGAAGCGGCCAAUUCAUUCAAUCCCCAAGGAGGUGAGUCAUCACAUUCAAAACAUUCACAAUGAUUUAGUACGGUGAGUACGGGACUGGAAUAAUGUAUUUAAAUUGUCUACACUACAUACUCUCUAGACUGCAACCCUUCAGCGCAGUGUAGAAUUCAGUUACUCUUUCUGAGAUGUGUAACCACAGUAUUCGACUUCCUAUUUGUAUCUGCCACCUUUUUGUGAAUCCA
Molecule: long non-coding RNA, 695 nt
Organism: Petromyzon marinus (sea lamprey)
Lineage: Eukaryota; Metazoa; Chordata; Hyperoartia; Petromyzontiformes; Petromyzontidae
Source: RefSeq, a predicted model, not a curated record